AUUGAACGCUGGCGGCAGGCCUAACACACGCAAGUCGAGCGGAUGAAGGGAGCUUGCUCCUGGAUUCAGCGGCGGACGGGUGGGUAAUGCCUAGGAAUCUGCCUGGUAGUGGGGGAUAACGUCCGGAAACGGGCGCUAAUACCGCAUACGUCCUGAGGGAGAAAGUGGGGGAUCUUCGGACCUCACGCUAUCGGAUGAGCCUAGGUCGGAUUAGCUAGUUGGUGGGGUAAAGGCCUACCAAGGCGACGAUCCGUAACUGGUCUGAGAGGAUGAUCAGUCACACUGGAACUGAGACACGGUCCAGACUCCUACGGGAGGCAGCAGUGGGGAAUAUUGGACAAUGGGCGAAAGCCUGAUCCAGCCAUGCCGCGUGUGUGAAGAAGGUCUUCGGAUUGUAAAGCACUUUAAGUUGGGAGGAAGGGCAGUAAGUUAAUACCUUGCUGUUUUGACGUUACCAACAGAAUAAGCACCGGCUAACUUCGUG
This 484-nucleotide ribosomal RNA is filed under the name uncultured bacterium. Its description in RNAcentral is "partial 16S ribosomal RNA". It matches the Rfam family "Bacterial small subunit ribosomal RNA", at positions 30 to 507 of the family's 1533-position model. The record is from RNAcentral.